GAUGAACGCUGGCGGCGUGCCUAAUACAUGCAAGUCGAGCGAACAGAUGAGGAGCUUGCUCCUCUGACGUUAGCGGCGGACGGGUGAGUAACACGUGGAUAACCUACCUAUAAGACUGGGAUAACUUCGGGAAACCGGAGCUGAUACAGGAUAAUAUAUUGAACCGCAUGGUUCAAUAGUGAAAGACGGUUUUGCUGUCACUUAUAGAUGGAUCCGCGCCGCAUUAGCUAGUUGGUAAGGUAACGGCUUACCAAGGCAACGAUGCGUAGCCGACCUGAGAGGGUGAUCGGCCACACUGGAACUGAGACACGGUCCAGACUCCUACGGGAGGCAGCAGUAGGGAAUCUUCCGCAAUGGGCGAAAGCCUGACGGAGCAACGCCGCGUGAGUGAUGAAGGUCUUCGGAUCGUAAAACUCUGUUAUUAGGGAAGAACAAAUGUGUAAGUAACUAUGCACGUCUUGACGGUACCUAAUCAGAAAGCCACGGCUAACUACGUG
This 497-nucleotide ribosomal RNA is filed under the name uncultured bacterium. RNAcentral's name for it is "partial 16S ribosomal RNA". It matches the Rfam family "Bacterial small subunit ribosomal RNA", at positions 28 to 507 of the family's 1533-position model. The record is from RNAcentral.